Molecule: long non-coding RNA, 340 nt
Filed under: Gallus gallus (chicken)
Lineage: Eukaryota; Metazoa; Chordata; Aves; Galliformes; Phasianidae
Description: long non-coding RNA NONGGAT006892
Source: RNAcentral
CUCUUGAAGCAAAGAAAUUUGCAAGACAGUGGUUUAACACAUUUGCAGAGUGCUGUUGACAUCCAGAGUGACUCCGGUUAUGUGAAUGAUUUAACCAAAUGAAGGACAACAUUCUCUGAAAUAACAAAGGCUAUUUCAAGAGAGUCCUACUGGUGUUAAGAAUGAAACAAAAAGUAAGAAGAACAGAAUCCUGGCUUUGUGCAAAGGGAAAUAACAAAUAAGAUAAAUACUGUGGUACUGUAUGUUUUAAUGGAAGCAGUCUCAUGGUGGAGAUAAAAACACGGAAGGCUACUAAGAAUUGCCUCCAUGCUGGCUCCCACAUCACUGCACGCAAUGCCAC